CGGGGUGCACCAGGCGCGAAAACUUUACAAUGCUGGCAACAGCGAUAAGGGGACCUCGAGUGCCAGGUUACAAAUCUGGCUGUCGUGAUGCCUAAAAAGCAUUGCAUAGCAAGGGCCGGGCAAGACCGGUGCCAGCCGCCGCGGUAACACCGGCGGCUCGAGUGGUAACCGUUAUUAUUGGGUCUAAAGGGUCUGUAGCCGGCCGGAUAAGUCUCUUGGGAAAUCCAGCAGCUCAACUGUUGGGCUUUCAGGAGAUACUGUCUGGCUCGAGGCCGGGAGAGGUGAGAGGUACUUCAGGGGUAGGGGUGAAAUCUUGUAAUCCUUGAAGGACCACCAGUGGCGAAGGCGUCUCACCAGAACGGACCUGACGGCAAGGGACGAAAGCUAGGGGCACGAACCGGAUUAGAUACCCGGGUAGUCCUAGCCGUAAACGAUACUCGCUAGGUGUCGGCCACGGUGCGACCGUUGUCGGUGCCGUAGGGAAGCCGUGAAGCGAGCCACCUGGGAAGUACGGCCGCAAGGCUGAAACUUAAAGGAAUUGGCGGGGGAGCACAAGGGCGAAUCGCG
RNAcentral lists this ribosomal RNA (567 nucleotides) under uncultured archaeon. RNAcentral describes it as "bacterial SSU rRNA". It matches the Rfam family "Archaeal small subunit ribosomal RNA", at positions 326 to 897 of the family's 1478-position model. The record is from RNAcentral.